GUGUCAGCCGCCGCGGUAACACCGGCGGCUCGAGUGGUAACCGUUAUUAUUGGGUCUAAAGGGUCUGUAGCCGGCCGGAUAAGUCUCUUGGGAAAUCUGGCAGCUUAACUGUCAGGCUUUCAGGAGAUACUGUCUGGCUCGAGGCCGGGAGAGGUGAGAGGUACUUCAGGGGUAGGGGUGAAAUCUUGUAAUCCUUGAAGGACCACCAGUGGCGAAGGCGUCUCACCAGAACGGACCUGACGGCAAGGGACGAAAGCUAGGGGCACGAACCGGAUUAGAUACCCGUGUAGUCC
This 293-nucleotide ribosomal RNA is filed under the name uncultured bacterium. RNAcentral describes it as "partial 16S ribosomal RNA". It matches the Rfam family "Archaeal small subunit ribosomal RNA", at positions 455 to 747 of the family's 1478-position model. The record is from RNAcentral.